GUCUAUGGCCAUGCUACCCUGAACAAACCUGAUCCUGUCUGAUCUUGGAAGCUAAGCAGGGUCGGGCCCGGUUGGUUAGUACUUGGAUGGGAGACCAUCUAGGAAGACCAGGUGCUGUAGGCG
Molecule: ribosomal RNA, 123 nt
Filed under: Pteropus alecto (black flying fox)
Lineage: Eukaryota; Metazoa; Chordata; Mammalia; Chiroptera; Pteropodidae
Source: RNAcentral